GUGAUUCUAAUGUGCAUGCAGGGCUGGGAACCACUGGUUGAGUGCACUGGCUUCCUGAGAUCGGUGAUACAUGGCAGGCCAUGCUUGGUUCCCAGCUUUGGUGAAUUCUUUCUAUCCAUGGAUGGAGCCACUCUCUCGGAAAGCCCUCUGUCUGGGAAUGAGGCCUUGACAGUCCUCUACUCCCCUGCUGCACCCCACUUCUAGCUGAGGUCCAGCCACCCAGAACCUGGUCACUACUACCUUUUGGCUUCUGGACUCCUGCUGUUCCGCCCCACCUGCUGGAUGCACCAGCUUUCCGGGUUGACCUGAAUAGAACUCUGCUCUCCUGCUCCAUUGGUUGCUGUGUUUAGCAUGUCUGGCCACCCUGGCAGCUAAGUCAGUGCUUUGCUCAAGCUCCCGCCACAGCUCAACACCCCCCCACCCCUUUGCCUGUGCAUGGAGGUCCCUGUGUGAUUCCUACCACCCGCCACCGCCCUGUGAGCUUGACAGGCUACGGUACCCUGCUGUUACAGCUAGGCGGCUGUCUAAGGAGGCCACAGAGCUCCCCUGCUGCUCUCCACCAGUGAUGAGCUCUUUGUGGCCCUGGGACCCCCACCCUCUGGGGCCAGUCCCUGUGCUUGGCCUCCGUGGCCCCGUGGCUGAGGCUUCCUGCCGGCUGCCUUCUUCCACUGACCUGCUGAGUGGCUCUGCCCUGUUCUGCGGUUUGCUGGCUGCCUGAGUCUAUCUGCACUGACUCCCACCCCUUGUCUUCUGUCCCUGAGGAGUGCCUGCUCUGAAGCCUCUGCGUGUCCCUGCAAGCCCCAGGUCCUGCCCUGCAACCUUGCCCUGUCACCCCUCACCCCACUCCAUGGGACAUUAUCCAGCCUUUUUUCCCCCACAUAUCCUGACUUGGACUCUGCUCCACUUUGAGCAGAAUCAAUCACUCAACUAAGAAUAAAAGGCGGGGUGCAUG
Long non-coding RNA from Bos taurus (domestic cattle), 952 nucleotides. Lineage: Eukaryota; Metazoa; Chordata; Mammalia; Artiodactyla; Bovidae. The record is from Ensembl.